Molecule: unclassified non-coding RNA, 216 nt
Filed under: soil metagenome
Description: partial contains 5.8S ribosomal RNA, internal transcribed spacer 2, and large subunit ribosomal RNA
Source: RNAcentral
AACCAUAGAAACCUGCGGAGUACCUGCGGAAGGAUCAUUACCGAGUUUACAACUCCCAAACCCAUGUGAACAUACCUAUCGUUGCUUCGGCGGAUCGCCCCGGGCGCCUUGCGUGCCCCGGAUCCAGGCGGCCGCCGGGGGACCUUAACUCUUGUUUUUAUUGAGAAUCUUCUGAGUCGUUUUUACAAAUAAAUAAAAACUUUCAACAAUGGAUCU